Molecule: ribosomal RNA, 934 nt
Filed under: uncultured archaeon
Lineage: Archaea
Description: bacterial SSU rRNA
Rfam family: Archaeal small subunit ribosomal RNA
Source: RNAcentral
UCCGGUUGAUCCUGCCGGACCCGAUUGCUCUUUGGGUGAGAAUAAGCCAUGCGAGUCGAAUGGGAUACCUAAAUUUCCCAUGGCAGACUGCUCAGUAACACAUGAUCAACUUACCCUAUAGAAAAAGAUAACCUCGGGAAACUGAGGAUAAUAUUUUAUAGUUGAAUAGGCUUGGAAAAGUUUUUCAAUAAAAGGGAUAAGGAAAAUGGUUCUUAUCUGCUAUAGGAUAGGAUCGUGGACGAUUAUGGUUGUUGGUGAGGUAACGGCUCACCAAGCCGAUAAUCGAUAGGGGCCGUGAGAGCGGGAGCCCCGAGAUGGGUACUGAGACAACGACCCAGGCCUUACGAGGCGCAGCAGGCGCGGAACCUCCGCAAUACACGAAAGUGUGACGGGGUUACCCAAAGUGUUCAAUUCUGAACUGUGGUAGGUGAGUAAUGUCCCCUACUAGAAAGGAGAGGGCAAGGCUGGUGCCAGCCGCCGCGGUAAAACCAGCUCUUCAAGUGGUCGGGAUAAUUAUUGGGCUUAAAGUGUCCGUGGCCGGUUUAGUAAGUUCCUGGUAAAAUCGGGUAGCUUAACUAUCCGUAUGCUAGGAAUACUACUAUACUAGAGGGCGGGAGAGGUCUGAGGUACUACAGGGGUAGGGGUGAAAUCUUAUAAUCCUUGUAGGACCACCAGUGGCGAAGGCGUCAGACUGGAACGUGCCUGACGGUGAGGGACGAAAGCCAGGGGAGCGAACCGGAUUAGAUACCCGGGUAGUCCUGGCCGUAAACGAUGCAUACUAGGUGAUGGCACGGCCAUGAGCCGUGUCAGUGCCGUAGGGAAACCGUUAAGUGUGCCGCCUGGGAAGUACGGUCGCAAGGCUAAAACUUAAAGGAAUUGGCGGGGGAGCACCACAAGGGGUGAAGCCUGCGGUUCAAUAAAAGUCAACGCCGGA